Molecule: ribosomal RNA, 434 nt
Filed under: uncultured Clostridiales Family XIV bacterium
Lineage: Bacteria; Bacillati; Bacillota; Clostridia; Eubacteriales; Clostridiales Family XIV. Incertae Sedis
Description: bacterial SSU rRNA
Rfam family: Bacterial small subunit ribosomal RNA
Source: RNAcentral
ACGGGAGGCAGCAGUGGGGAAUAUUGCACAAUGGGGGAAACCCUGAUGCAGCGACGCCGCGUGAGUGAAGAAGUAUUUCGGUAUGUAAAGCUCUAUCAGUAGGGAAGAAAAUGACGGUACCUAACUAAGAAGCCCCGGCUAACUACGUGCCAGCAGCCGCGGUAAUACGUAGGGGGCAAGCGUUAUCCGGAUUUACUGGGUGUAAAGGGAGCGUAGACGGUACGGCAAGUCUGAAGUGAAAUGUCGGGGCUCAACCCCGGAACUGCUUUGGAAACUGUCGAACUAGAGUGCAGGAGAGGUAAGUGGAAUUCCUAGUGUAGCGGUGAAAUGCGUAGAUAUAAGGAAGAACACCAGUGGCGAAGGCGAUCUACUGGACAGUAACUGACGCUGAGGCGCGAAAGCGUGGGGAGCAAACAGGAUUAGAUACCCUGGUA